Molecule: ribosomal RNA, 290 nt
Filed under: uncultured bacterium
Lineage: Bacteria
Description: partial 16S ribosomal RNA
Rfam family: Bacterial small subunit ribosomal RNA
Source: RNAcentral
GUGGAUUUGAUACCCCGGUAGUCCACGCCGUAAACGAUGGACACUAGGCGUCGGGGGGAGCGACCCUCCCGGUGCCGUCGCUAACGCAGUAAGUGUCCCGCCUGGGGAGUACGGCCGCAAGGCUGAAACUCAAAGGAAUUGACGGGGGCCCGCACAAGCGGUGGAGCAUGUGGUUUAAUUCGAAGCAACGCGAAGAACCUUACCUGGGCUUGACAUGCACGGGAAAGCCGGUGGAAACAUCGGCCCCUCUUCGGAGUCCGUGCACAGGUGCUGCACGGUUGUCGCCAGCU